UAAUUUGCAGAACGGAAUCGAAACCCAACCAUACAUUUCGCCAGAAUCAGAUCAGACUAGUGAACCCAGAUCAGAGCCAGAACCCACAGCAGAUGCAAUUCCCAGUUCUGAAUUACAACAAGAACGCGAAUCGGAAUCAGUUAAUAAUGGAGUAGCGGAUUCGGAGCCGGAGUCUCUAAGGAAACAGUUAUCGGAGUCCAUCCAUUUACAGGUAGUGACG
This 220-nucleotide unclassified non-coding RNA is filed under the name Hevea brasiliensis (rubber tree). Lineage: Eukaryota; Viridiplantae; Streptophyta; Magnoliopsida; Malpighiales; Euphorbiaceae. The record is from RNAcentral.